Molecule: ribosomal RNA, 464 nt
Filed under: uncultured Methanosaeta sp.
Lineage: Archaea; Methanobacteriati; Methanobacteriota; Methanomicrobia; Methanotrichales; Methanotrichaceae
Description: bacterial SSU rRNA
Rfam family: Archaeal small subunit ribosomal RNA
Source: RNAcentral
AGCACUACGAACGGGUGGAGCCUGUCGGUUUAAUUGGAUCAACGCCGAAAUCUCGACCGGGGCGACAGCAAUAUGAAGGUCAGGCUGAAGACCUUACCCGAUUAGCUGAGAGGUGGUGCAUGGCCGUCGUCAGUUCGUACUGUGAAGCAUCCUGUUAAGUCAGGCAACGAGCGAGACCCACGUCCACAGUUGCCAGCAUACCCUCCGGGGUGAUGGGUACACUGUGGAGACCGCCGCUGCUAAAGCGGAGGAAGGAGUGGGCAACGGUAGGUCAGUAUGCCCCGAAUCUCCCGGGCUACACGCGGGCUACAAUGGUUGGUACAAUGGGCAUCUACCCCGAAAGGGGAAGGAAAUCUCUUAAAGCCAAUCGUAGUUCGGAUUGAGGGCUGCAACUCGCCCUCAUGAAGCUGGAAUCCGUAGUAAUCGCGUUUCAACAGAACGCGGUGAAUACGUCCCUGCUCCUU